RNAcentral lists this ribosomal RNA (267 nucleotides) under uncultured bacterium. RNAcentral's name for it is "partial 16S ribosomal RNA". It matches the Rfam family "Bacterial small subunit ribosomal RNA", at positions 793 to 1055 of the family's 1533-position model. The record is from RNAcentral.
GUCCACGCCGUAAACGAUGAGUGCUAGACGCUGGGGGGCUUGCUCUUCGGUGUCGCAGCUAACGCAUUAAGCACUCCGCCUGGGGAGUACGGUAGCAAGAUUAAAACUCAAAGGAAUUGACGGGGGCCCCGCACAAGCGGUGGAGCAUGUGGUUUAAUUCGAAGCAACGCGCAGAACCUUACCAACCCUUGACAUGGGACGUAUGGGCUUCAGAGAUGAGGUCCUUCAGUUCGGCUGGAGUCCACACAGGUGCUGCAUGGCUGUCGU